Molecule: ribosomal RNA, 374 nt
Filed under: Klebsiella pneumoniae
Lineage: Bacteria; Pseudomonadati; Pseudomonadota; Gammaproteobacteria; Enterobacterales; Enterobacteriaceae
Description: bacterial SSU rRNA
Rfam family: Bacterial small subunit ribosomal RNA
Source: RNAcentral
AGAGCUUGCUCUCGGGUGACGAGCGGCGGACGGGUGAGUAAUGUCUGGGAAACUGCCUGAUGGAGGGGGAUAACUACUGGAAACGGUAGCUAAUACCGCAUAAUGUCGCAAGACCAAAGUGGGGGACCUUCGGGCCUCAUGCCAUCAGAUGUGCCCAGAUGGGAUUAGCUAGUAGGUGGGGUAACGGCUCACCUAGGCGACGAUCCCUAGCUGGUCUGAGAGGAUGACCAGCCACACUGGAACUGAGACACGGUCCAGACUCCUACGGGAGCAGCAGUGGGGAAUAUUGCACAAUGGCGCAAGCCUGAUGCAGCAUGCCGCGUGUGUGAAAAGGCCUUCGGGUUGUAAGCACUUUCGCGGGAGAAGGCGUCAGG